RNAcentral lists this ribosomal RNA (455 nucleotides) under Parahaemophilus parainfluenzae. RNAcentral describes it as "Haemophilus parainfluenzae bacterial SSU rRNA". It matches the Rfam family "Bacterial small subunit ribosomal RNA", at positions 32 to 476 of the family's 1533-position model. The record is from RNAcentral. Lineage: Bacteria; Pseudomonadati; Pseudomonadota; Gammaproteobacteria; Pasteurellales; Pasteurellaceae.
AACGCUGGCGGCAGGCUUAACACAUGCAAGUCGAACGGUAACAUAAAGAAGCUUGCUUCUUUGAUGACGAGUGGCGGACGGGUGAGUAAUGCUUGGGAAUCUAGCUUAUGGAGGGGGAUAACUACGGGAAACUGUAGCUAAUACCGCGUAGUAUCGGAAGAUGAAAGUGUGGGACCUUCGGGCCACAUGCCAUAGGAUGAGCCCAAGUGGGAUUAGGUAGUUGGUGAGGUAAAGGCUCACCAAGCCGACGAUCUCUAGCUGGUCUGAGAGGAUGACCAGCCACACUGGGACUGAGACACGGCCCAGACUCCUACGGGAGGCAGCAGUGGGGAAUAUUGCGCAAUGGGGGCAACCCUGACGCAGCCAUGCCGCGUGAAUGAAGAAGGCCUUCGGGUUGUAAAGUUCUUUCGGUAGCGAGGAAGGCACUUAGUUUAAUARACUAGGUGAUUGACGUU